This 1013-nucleotide ribosomal RNA is filed under the name uncultured bacterium. Its description in RNAcentral is "bacterial SSU rRNA". It matches the Rfam family "Bacterial small subunit ribosomal RNA", at positions 8 to 1022 of the family's 1533-position model. The record is from RNAcentral.
AGAGUUUGAUCCUGGCUCAGAUUGAACGCUGGCGGCGUGCCUAACACAUGCAAGUCGAGCGGUAACAGGUGUAGCAAUACAUGCUGACGAGCGGCGAACGGGUGAGUAACGCUUCGGAAUCUGCCCAAUGGUGGGGAAUAACCAGCCGAAAGGUUGGCUAAUACCGCAUACGCCCUACGGGGGAAAGCGGGGGAUCGUAAGACCUCGCGCCGAUGGAUGAGCCGAAGCCGGAUUAGCUAGUUGGUAGGGUAACGGCCUACCAAGGCGACGAUCCGUAGCUGGUCUGAGAGGACGACCAGCCACACUGGGACUGAGACACGGCCCAGACUCCUACGGGAGGCAGCAGUGGGGAAUAUUGGACAAUGGGGGAAACCCUGAUCCAGCGACGCCGCGUGUGUGAAGAAGGCCUGCGGGUUGUAAAGCACUUUUAGUGGGGAUGAAAAGCUCAGGGCUAAUAUCUCUGAGUCUUGACCUAACCCAAAGAAAAAGCACCGGCUAACUCUGUGCCAGCAGCCGCGGUAAUACAGAGGGUGCAAGCGUUAAUCGGAAUUACUGGGCGUAAAGCGUGCGUAGACGGUUAGAUAAGUCGGGUGUGAAAGCCCCGGGCUCAACCUGGGAAUUGCAUUCGAGACUGCCUAGCUAGGGUGCGGAAGAGGGAAGCGGAAUUUCCGGUGUAGCGGUGAAAUGCGUAGAUAUCGGAAGGAACACCAGUGGCGAAAGCGGCUUCCUGGUCCAGCACCGACGUUCAGGCACGAAAGCGUGGGGAGCAAACAGGAUAGAUACCCUGGUAGUCCACGCCAUAAACGAUGAGAACUAAACGUUGAGAGGGUAAGCCUCCCAGUGUCGUAGCUAACGCGCUUAAGUUCUCCGCCUGGGGAGUACGGCCGCAAGUUGAAACUCAAGGAUUUGACGGACCCGCACAAGCGGUGGACCAUGUGGGUUUAAUUCGAUGCAACGCAGAACUUACUUGCUUUGCAUCCCAGAAACCUUGAAAAAUUUCGGGUGCCCCAGGA